Molecule: unclassified non-coding RNA, 253 nt
Filed under: uncultured Parcubacteria group bacterium
Lineage: Bacteria
Description: contains 16S-23S intergenic spacer region
Rfam family: Bacterial small subunit ribosomal RNA
Source: RNAcentral
UACGAGUGCCCCGAGCGUUAUCCGGAAUCAUUGGGCGUAAAGGGUGCGUAGGCGGUCUUGUUAGUCUCCUGUUAAAUUCUUCGGCUUAACCGGGGGUCUGCAGGGGAAACGGCAAAACUAGAGGACGUGAGAGGUGUGUAGAACUCAUAGUGUAGGGGUGAAAUCCGUUGAUAUUAUGGGGAAUACCAAAUGCGAAGGCAGCACACUGGCGCGUUCCUGACGCUGAGGCACGAAAGCGUGGGUAUCGAACGGG